Molecule: long non-coding RNA, 10504 nt
Filed under: Glycine max (soybean)
Lineage: Eukaryota; Viridiplantae; Streptophyta; Magnoliopsida; Fabales; Fabaceae
Description: long non-coding RNA (GMAX_LNC004498)
Source: RNAcentral
UGAGGAAUCCAUUUUCUGAAAAGAAAUGGAGAAAUUUUCAAUUAUCAAGAAUAUUUAGCAGCUCCAAUGCUGUGAUAAAGAUGCACGCAAUUGAUGUGAAUUUAUAUUCAGAAGGAACUACAGUCAUUGAUAGAUGGCUUGUGGCACUCAGCCUGGGUUCUGGGCAAACAAGAAAUAUGGCUCUUGAUAGGUACGAUUAUUUGAAGAAUGUAGUGGAUAUCAUGUGGUAUUUAUGUUCAAAUUGCAAGGAUGUCAAAAGGUCAUGUUGAUGUCUUGCAAUAACUAUAAAGCACAAUGACAUUCUUUAGUCUGUGUCAAUGUUUUGCAAUAACUUGGUUGUUGUUUUCCUUUUAUUAACUUAAUUUGAAGACCUUUUCACUUAUUGAUGGCUCAGUUUAAGGAUGCAUCAAGCACUUUCUCUUUCUAAAAUAUAAAAUAACCAUUAAUAAGAAAAGAGUGAGAAGUUUAUGAAUGUGGAUGGUAUUUUCCAUACUUGGGUUUAUUUCUUGGAAAAUUUCCUUGGCUUUGGGCAUUGCUCCUUUGUCUUGAUCUUAAGCAAGGGUUCUUCAUACUGGAAUAUUUUUAGUUUUUAAUUUUUUAUUCUUAUUUUUCAAUUAAAGUUGGAAGGAGGGUAAACAAGUAUUAGUUUAUCUUUAAAAUCGAUUGAGAAUAAAGAUGAUUAAUGUUUUUUGUUCCGUAUUAUGUUUAUCUCAUGAAAUUUUUUAAUCUGAACUAAUUUGUUUGAUAAUAUUGAUCAAACUUCCAAAUUUUCUGCUCAGGCGGUAUCUUGCGUACGACUUGACUCCUGUUGCUGGAAUAGCAGCACUUAUAUCCAGCAAUGGUCAUCAUGCCAAUGUUUACUCAAGGAGCUCAAUUAUGGCCCCUCUUCCUAUGUCUGGUUGUAUAAACAUGCCUAUUACUGUCUUAGGUUGUUUCCUUGUGUGUCACAAUAGAGGCCGUUAUCUCUUUAAAUACCAAGACAGAGGGACUUUAGCCGAGGGACACUUUGAUGCUGGAAAUCAAUUAAUUGAAUCUUGGAACAGAGAGGUGAUGUCUUGUGUACGUGAUUCCUAUGUUGAAAUGGUUUUGGAGAUUCAAAAGCUAAGAAGAGAUAUUCCAAGUUCUAUAAUUGAUUCUAGUGUCUGUUCUGCAAUCAGUCUCUCUUUGAAGGCUUAUGGAGAUAAAAUCUACUCCUUCUGGCCCCGUUCUUGUGAGAGGCAUGUUCUGAGCGACCAACUUGGUAAUCACGAUAACAACCAUCCAAGUACAACAGCAGUUGUUCUUAAAGCUGACUGGGAAUGCCUUAAAGAUCGGGUAAUACAUCCAUUUUAUUCUCGUAUUGUUGACCUUCCAGUAUGGCAGCUGUACUCAGGAACUUUGGUCAAGGCUGAAGAAGGUAUGUUUCUUUCACAGCCAGGGAAUGGGUUGCUUGGUAAUUUACUUCCAGCUACUGUUUGCAGCUUUGUAAAGGAGCAUUAUCCUGUAUUUUCAGUACCAUGGGAAUUGGUGACUGAAAUCCUAGCUGUGGGUUUUUCAGUGCGAGAAAUUAGACCUAAAAUGGUUCGGGAUCUCCUAAAAGUCUCUUCAAAACCAAUUGCUCUGCGAUCAGUUGACAUGUAUAUAGAUGUUCUUGAAUAUUGCUUGUCUGAUUUUCAGCUAGCAGAGUCAUCCAGCUCUGCCAGAGAUAAUGAUCCUGCUAGUGCCAAUGUUUUCUGUCGGGAGACUGAUAACGGAAUCACUUCUUCUCAGAUGGGGUCUAAUAUCCACGGCUCCACUGGCAUGGCCACUCGGGGAUCAGCCAGUUCUGGAGAUGCAUUGGAAAUGAUGACAAGUUUGGGGAAGGCUCUAUUUGAUUUUGGUCGGGGUGUUGUUGAAGAUAUGGGUAGAGCAGGAACACCUGUGGCUUACAAUGCGGCAGGCAUAGAUCAAAUUCGGGACCAGAAGUUCAUAUCAAUUGCUGCAGAACUCAAAGGCUUACCAUUUCCAACUGCAACUAGCCAUUUAAAAAAAUUGGGCUUUUCUGAACUUUGGAUUGGGAAUAAAGAGCAACAGUCAUUAAUGGUUCCCUUGGGAGAAAAAUUUAUUCAUCCUAAAAUUUUAGACAGGCCUCUCUUAGGUGACAUUUUUUCUAAUUUUUCCCUUCAAUCACUAUUGAAACUGCGGAAUUUCUCUCUUAAUCUACUGGCCAAUCAUAUGAAACUAAUUUUCCAUGAAGAUUGGGUGAACCAUGUAAUGGGAUCAAAUAUGGCUCCAUGGCUUUCAUGGGAGAAACUUCCUAGUUCUGGUAGUCAAGGUGGCCCUUCCCCUGAAUGGAUUAGAAUAUUCUGGAAAAGUUUUAGGGGCUCACAGGAAGAAUUAUCCCUUUUCUCUGAUUGGCCCCUAAUUCCUGCUUUUCUUGGUAGGCCAGUCUUGUGCCGUGUAAGAGAAUGCCAUCUGGUAUUCAUUCCUCCUCUUUUGGAGUACCCAACAUCGACAAGUGGGAUUUCAGAAAGAGAAUCUGCUGGAAGUUAUGAGAGUGGGGUUAGGGUGUCAAGGGGUAAUACUUCUGAAGCUGAGUUAGCUGAGUCCUACAUUUCAGCUUUUGAAAGAUUCAAAACCAGUUAUUCCUGGUUGUUUCCCAUGUUAAACCAGUGUAACAUACCCAUAUUUGAUGAGGCAUUCAUAGACUGUGUUGCUUCAAACAGUUGUUUUUCUAUGCCUGGUCGAUCACUCGGCCAUGUUAUUGCAUCCAAACUUGUGGCAGCUAAGCAAGCUGGGUAUUUUACUGAACCUACUAAUCUCUCAACUUCAAAUUGUGAUGCACUUUUUUCACUUUUUUCUGAUGAAUUUUUCUCCAAUGACUGUCACUAUGCACGUGAAGAAAUUGAAGUUUUGCGUUCUCUCCCUAUAUAUAAAACAGUUGUUGGUUCUUAUACUAAGUUGCGAGGUCAAGAUCAGUGUAUGAUUCCUUCAAAUUCAUUUCUAAAACCAUAUGAUGAACGUUGUCUUUCUUAUGCCAUUGAUUCAAAUGAAAGUUCAUUUCUUCGAUCCCUUGGUGUGCUGGAGUUGCAUGAUCAACAGAUCUUAGUACGCUUUGGCUUGCCUGGCUUUGAGGGGAAACCUCAGAAUGAACAGGAGGAAAUAUUAAUAUACAUUUUUAAAAAUUGGCAUGAUCUUCAAUCAGAUCAAUCUGUGGCUGAAGCUUUGAAAGAGACUAAAUUUGUCAGAAAUUCUGAUGAGUUUUCAACAGAUCUGUUGAAGCCCACGGAUUUAUUUGAUCCUGGUGAUGCUAUAUUAAUUUCUAUAUUCUUUGGUGAGAGAAGAAAAUUUCCUGGAGAAAGGUUCAGUACAGAUGGAUGGCUUCGAAUACUAAGGAAGCUUGGGCUUCGAACUGCUACUGAAGUAGAGGUAAUAAUUGAAUGCGCCAAAAGAGUUGAGUUUCUUGGAAUUGAGUGCAUGAAAACAGGAGAUUUGGAUGAUUUUGAGGCAGACACAAUCAACACUUGUUCUGAAGUUUCGCCUGAAGUGUGGGCAUUAGGAGGAUCUGUAGUUGAGUUUGUUUUCUCCAACUUUGCUCUUUUCUUUAGCAACAACUUCUGUGAUCUUCUUGGCAAUAUUGCAUGUGUACCUGCUGAACUGGGGUUUCCUAGUGUUGGUUGCAAGAGGGUGCUUGCUUCAUAUAAUGAAGCUAUUUUGUCUAAAGAUUGGCCUCUAGCUUGGAGUUGUGCUCCCAUUCUAUCCAAACAACACACUGUUCCUCCAGAGUAUUCAUGGGGACCUCUGCAUCUACAGAGUCCUCCUCCUUUUUGUACAGUUUUGAAGCACUUGCAAGUAAAAACGAUACUUUUGGUUUACUUUUUAUAUCUAUAUAUUACUUUCCUACAUGUAUUUUAUGCUAGUUUUGUUUUUCCCUAGGUAAUUGGGAGAAAUGGAGGGGAAGAUACUCUUGCUCAUUGGCCCAUUGCUUCAGGAAUGAACAUUGAGGAAUGUACCUGCGAGAUUUUGAAAUAUUUAGACAAAGUUUGGAGUUCACUUUCUUCAUCAGGUGCUUCACUAUUCUGAUGUUUUUCCAUUUAAGCUAAGAGUUAAGGAGAUUAGGAGAAAAAAAUGUCUGUUGCUACCAAAGAUUUCAAAGAAAGAGUGUGGCUUAUAUUUUUUUUUGACAAGUUUUUUAUUCUCCUUACCGAAAUGAUAGGUCUGUCACUGCUCCCACAAUUACUAAACAGGGACCACUUGGGCAGCAUCUGUCUGUGGACCUCCAGUUAUUUUCUGUUGAGUUGAUUAAGCACUUUUGCUUAGGUUGUUGAUACAGAUUAUAGAGACAUACCAUGUAUAAAAGCAUAAAAGAUGGUAUAUGCAUUUUGUUGAUGAAUUUCUAACCACUUUUUCUUUUCCAGAUGUGGCAGAGCUACACAAAGUGGCCUUCCUGCCUGUUGCAAACGGAACGCGCCUUGUGGCUGCUGAUGCUCUUUUUGCUCGUUUGAUGAUUAAUUUGUCUCCAUUUGCUUUUGAACUUCCUACUGUAUAUCUCCCAUUUGUAAAGAUUCUUAAAGAUUUGGGACUUCAGGACAUGCUAACACUUUCUGCUGCAAAGGGUCUUCUAUUAAAUCUUCAGAAAGCUUGUGGAUAUCAGCGACUAAAUCCCAAUGAGCUCCGUGCAGUGAUGGAAAUUUUGAAUUUCAUUUGUGAUCAGAUUGUCGAGGGGAACACAUUAGAUGGGUUAAACUGGAAAUCAGAAGCCAUAGUUCCUGAUGAUGGCUGCAGACUAGUUCAUUCAGCGUCCUGUGUCUAUGUUGAUUCUUAUGGUUCUCGAUAUGUCAAAUGUAUUGAUACUUCCAGAAUUAGAUUUGUCCAUGCAGAUCUUCCAGAGGGAGUCUGUAUUAUGCUUUGCAUAAAAAAGUUGUCUGACAUUGUCUUAGAGGUAGAUUUUAGAUACAUUUUUGUAUUUGUUUUUAUCUAAGUUUUAUCUGCAUAAGGCUUUUACUUACUGGGAUGUUUCUGUCUGGGCUUUUAGGAACUGGAUGAGAAUCACACACUACAGACUUUAGGUUCUCUGGGGUCUGUUUCACUAGUGACCAUCAAACAGAAGUUAUCAAGCAAGUCUCUUCAAACUGCUGUCUGGACUAUUGUUAAUAGCAUGGGCAGCUACAUUCCUGCAUUCAAUAGCUUUUCAUUGGACACAAUGGAAUGCUUAUUGAACUCUACUGCAGAAAAGCUUCAAUUUGUCAAGUCUCUUAAAACAAAAUUUCUGCUCUUGCCCAAUUUGGUAGAUGUUACACGUGCAGGCAAAGAUUUCAUAAUCCCAGAGUGGAAGAAUGAUUCUGCACAUCAAACGCUUUAUUUUAUGAACCAAUCAAGAUCCCGUAUUCUAGUUGCUGAGCCACCAACUUAUAUUUCCCUUUUUGAUCUCAUUGCUAUUAUAGUCAGCCAGAUAUUAGGCUCUCCUAUCAUAUUGCCUAUUGGGUCUUUAUUUGGUUGUCCUGAAGGAUCUGAGAUUGCAGUUGUUAAUGUUUUGAAACUUUGCUCUGAUAAGAAAGAAGUUGAACCCGUAAAUGGGAGCAGCAAUAUGGUUGGCAAAGAAAUAUUGCCACAAGAUGCACGUCUUGUGCAGUUCCAUCCAUUGAGGCCCUUUUAUUCUGGCGAAAUAGUGGCUUGGCGGUCUCAACAUGGUGAAAAACUGAAAUAUGGUAAGGUUUCAGAAGAUGUAAGAUCAUCUGCAGGUCAAGCUCUGUACAGACUUAAAAUUGAAGUUUCCCCGGGGGAUACACAAAGUUUCCUUUCAUCACAUGUAUUUUCAUUUAAAAGUGUAUCAGCAAGCAGUCCCCUAAAAGAAUCAUUGGUGCAUGAAAGCCAUGUAUUAGGCAGUAACAGGCCCCAUGUUGAUUUCCCCGAGAGCUCAGGAAGGGGAGAAAGCUACUCUCAGGUUUAGCCCUUGGAACUUGUUACUAAUCACAAGUAUUAUUUAGCACAAAUUUGCAUUCAUUUCAGGCAAUGGCAUUGGAAUUCGUGACCCAUCCUGUGCUUUCCAAUAACAUACAUGAACAAUAUGAAUCAGCAAAUGAGAGAGAUUUUUUUAGUUGUUAAGGUUGGGAUGAAACAUAAAGCACAUAAUUAAGAAAUUUUUCUUUAGUUUGAGGCUAAGGUCACAGAAUCAAGAAGCAUAUAAUCCUUUUCAAUUGUUAGCUAUUUUGCUCAAGGCUUUCUUCCUUUAACUGUUGCAUAUCUUGUUACCAUUUAUUUAAUCAUUCUUAAAAUACAUAUUCAUGUUGUUUUAUAUUUGGUAUUGCUUGCAUGUUGAUGUGCUUAAACUGAAUGAGAAGUAUCUUUGUGUAAAUAGGUGCAGCCUGUGAGAGAUCAGUCUGGCAAAGUUUCAGCUGCAGAACUGGUGCAGGCUGUCAAUGAAAUACUCUCUGCUGCUGGGAUCAAAAUGGACGUGGAAAAGCAGGCUCUAUUUCAAAGAACAAUAAAUUUGCAAGAAAAUCUGAAAGAGUCUCAGGCAGCUCUUGUGUUGGAACAGGUUGGUGAUUUUAAUUUUUAGUACUAUGGUUUCUUAGCAUUGUGUAAUACUGUUAUGAAUAGGGGAGUACGGACACAUGUUACUCUUUAGGUAUUGGCUCUUCCGUUGUCUUGUAAUCUGUUAUCUGUAUGGAUGUUUCAACUUUCAAUUCCAUGCGUUAAAUCAAUUGAUAUUCCUGGAAUAAUUGAAGUUUUACACCGCUCUUCUGUUUCUGUUUUCUACCCUGUAAAUCAAAGUGUUAAUAUUUUUCUUUCUGAAUAGGAAUUUUGCAUGUGGGCAUUCUAAUUUCCCAAUCAUUUGAAAACCUGUUUAUAGUUUGUUUGAGCAUGCAUAUACAAGCCCGUUGUUAGUUACCACACAUCAAACAUGGAAAAUUUGAAGUUUUGGUCUGCAUUUCAAAUUCAGAGUUUCAGAUAUCUUAAAAAUAGGUUUCUAAUUGGCAAUUUGGAUAUCCACUAGCCAAAUUGCAUAAGUUUGGUAUUGCAUAUCAGUUGUUUAAGGCUUUAGGGAUAGUUUUAAAGUGUAGAAACGAGUAAUGAUUGAAGUAGCUUCCUUGAUGCUUUGUAAUGCAUAUAUCUGGUAGAGUUAAUCUUUAUGAUAAGUUUGGAAUGACAUCAUCAUUAUACAUUGUACAGGAAAGGGUUGAAAAGGCAACAAAAGAGGCUGAUACAGCAAAAGCAGCAUGGGUUUGUCGGGUUUGUCUGAGUUCAGAGGUUGAUAUAACUAUAGUUCCUUGUGGUCAUGUAUUGUGUCGUAGAUGUUCUUCUGCAGUGUCAAGGUGUCCCUUUUGUCGGCUUCAGGUUACAAAAGCUAUCAGAAUUUUUCGUCCGUAAUAUCUCCAAUGCUUUUGUGAUCAUUUUAUUUGGACAUUGUCAGAGUUCCAUUCGCCAAUAUAGGCUAACUGAAGUUGGCUAAGAUUAAUCGGGUUACAUUGGACUCUGACGUGAAUAUUAUGUUUUUGUGAUUGAGCCCCAAAAAUGGGUACUGUUGAAUUUUUUUGUAAAUAGGCCUCAAUGAAAAAAAGGUUUGGUAAAUUAGCCUGUACCUUAACGUAGUUUCACAUUAUUUUUUUUUUUGAGAAAAAGGGUAAUGCAGACAGUAUUUUAAAAUAAAUUUAAGCCAAUGUGGUUAAACGAUUAAAUAUUAUUAGAUGUCAGUGUAAAGAAAAACAGGACAAAACUAAGUCUUUUCAAAUAAUCAUAAAAGGAUUUUAUAUUACUUGUACACCUAUUUUCUAAUAAAUAAAAAAGAAAAAAGAAAAUAAAAAUCCAUCAACAAUAAUUUCUCAAAAUGGGUAUUAGUGUAGUAUUACCUUAAAAGAAGGAAGGAAACGGCUUUUGGAAGUGCCUGUGUUGCUGGAAUAAAAGCAAGUGAAAAUGACUUAUAAAAUAGCUAUAGUCUAUAGCCAAAAUCAUCAGGCAUCAAAUGCAUCCAGUGAAUUCAACUGCAGGUGCGCCAAACAUGACUCACUUUGAUUUUCAAAGUUGUCUUUGCUCUCACAACUUUAGAAACAUGGAUAAUGACUGAGAGUUCUCUUUGAAUAUUAGUUCAAAGAACAACCACAUGUGUGAUUCUCUUUGACUUUUAAAGGGGUUCUUUGCUCUCACAGUCCUUAGAAAUAUGACUAAUAAUAAUUGAGACUCUUUGAAUUAAUCAUUCAAAAUGAUCUCCCACAUUUCUGAUUCUUUUUUAUUUUUAUAAGGUUGCACAGUUAUAACUAUUGCAAUCGCUGAUUCUUCAUACCGCUUUUUAACUAUCUCCGCAAGACAUCUAAGAAGUAAUUAAGAAAUAAGUAAAGCCUCCGUUUUUACUGCCUCAAACUGGUAAUAAUUUCUAAAUUGAACUUCAAACAAAUUAAGCAAGUUAGACAUAUGUAUGUAUUGCAUUUUAUCUACGUACUGGUUCUCGGUGGCUCUUGUGGACGCCAUACUCAUCAUCUUCAGUCGUCGUCUUCUAUUAUCUACAUAUAUAGACGGCAUUUGAUUAAAAUUAACACAUAAUAACAAGUUAGAACAUAUCACUUAUUAACAAAAGAGCACUUAGCUUACUGGACUCUAUCUUAAUUUAUUGAACAUGGUAUUGGUAAAUUGAGGACUUUCCUAACACUGUUAUUAAAUGCAUAUACUUUGGACCAUUAAAGUUCAAAUUAAUUAUAAUUUUAUAGGACGUAACAGCUAUUAGUCAAAUUAAUUUGUGGUUUUUCUAUUGUAUAUCUGUAUGUGUCAUUAUGAUUUAUUAUCUCCAUUUCUAUAUGAAAUACAUUUUUAAAAUUUAUUUAUCUUUUUUUAUAAGAUACUUUAAUUUUCAAAUUACCCUGUGAAUUUUUUAUACUUAAAUAUCUUUAAUUAUUUUACAAUAAAUACUGUUAAUUAUAAAGCAAUAAGAUUUUAAGAUUGAAUAAUAGGACUAAUGCACAUUUGUUAAUUAAUUAAUUAAUUAAUUAAUUAAUUAAUUAGGUGGAGAGUAAUUAAGUAAAAAGAGUAAGAUUUUAUUUAAAGGAGUAAAAAGAGUAAGAUGAUGAGUCUUAAUAAUAACUUUAAAGAAGAUUUAAAAAUAAUAUAAAUUAUUAAUAAAUUUAAUGAUAUUAUUUGUUAACUAAAUUUUUAGGGACGCAAACGUUGAACAAUUUUCUGGACUAAUUAAGUGUCCAAGAUAUAUAACGUUUCUUUACAUCGAUAAAUAGAAUAUUAAUUGAUAGCUAGCAAGAAAUUUCAAGUUUUAACUUUACUUGACAUAAGGCAUGCAUGCCCUUCAUUUUAAGGCACCACUUUUUCCAGUGGUUAGUUCACUAAUGUUGAAAAAACUCUUCAACAAAGAAAGAAAUUCAAAACUUUAAAUAUAUUCUACUGCAAAAGGACAAGUUGUCAACUUUUCCAAAAACUUUAGUCAAAAACCUACUCAAAUAUAAAAUUCAUAAACACACAAAAUUAACUACCUCAUCAAUGAUGCCAUUCCAACGCACAUGUAGUCAAUUAUGCCAAUGUCAAAUAUCAUUAAAAAAUUAUACUAUCUAGAGAGUCAUUAUUCCUAAGGAUAAUUUAUAUGCUGACGACUGAGUAUUGACCUAAAGAGAGACUUAAAAAAUAAAUUUGAGAUUAUUUAUUUUAAAUGAGAGAAGAUUAUGUUAGUUAUUUUAUUGAUUGAGUCAUAUACUUUGGUAGAGUCAUAUGUAAAACUAUAUUGUAUUUGAGAAUAAUUGAUCUAUCUAACAGCAAAAAUUUAUGUUUGAUUUAUAUUAUAUGUUAAAAUUUUCAAGAUCAAUUAUAUGAUCCUUUAUUAAAAUAUCAAGAAAACAUAUUGUGGAAUUCAUAUUGUGAAAGUUUAGAAAAAAAUUAUUUUACUCAUUUCUUCAAACAAGAAAUUUUCACUCUUUGUUAUUCUUAUUCUCUUUUAAAGAAUUUGUCUGUUUUCUUUAUUUGUUUCAAUCCUUGAACAAUUCACUGAUACUAAGAGAGAAUUUGCGAUUCUAAGAGAAAAAAUUGUUUAUUCUUACAUAAGAAUUAUGGUAAGUAAUUUGAAAUUUGUUUAAUCGAUCUUUCUUUAUCUAUUAUUUCUAUUAUUUUAAUUAAUCUAAUAUAUUAUUAUACUAACAUCUUUUAAAAAUAAAAAAUAACAAUCUAAUAUUUUAAAAUAAUUUAAUAAUCUUUUCCCUUACUAAAAGAGAUAUUUAGAUAUUCUUAUCUAAAUAAUUAUUGAAUUAUUUUUAGGGUGUUACAUCAAUGAUAAUUACAUAUCAUAGACAAGAUUAAUCUUUGAUCCAUUAGAUUAAGAAUCACCAAUUAUUUCUCACUCAUCAAAAAAAAAAAAACCUCUUUUACUUUAUAUAAAGUAAUGAGAGACACUUGUUUUAUUAGUAGAAUCCUUACCUUUGCACCGGUCUUGUGAAUUGUGCCUAUAUAAACAGUACCGAAACCUCAAAGAAAGCACACAUCAUUAGAAGUGAAUUUACAAAGAAAUUCAAAAGCAAAGCAAGAAUCAUGAAUUCCAAUAUUUGCAAUUGGAAACAAA